AGUCACUGACAUUAGAUACCCCUGUAGUCCAGGGUGUAAACGCUGCGAGACUUGGUGUUGGAAGUCCUUUGGGGGCAUUCAGUGCCGGAGAGAAGUUGUUAAGUCUGCUACUUGGGGAGUACGUCCGCAAGGAUGAAACUUAAAGGAAUUGGCGGGGGAGCACCGCAACGGGAGGAGCGUGCGGUUUAAUUGGAUUCAACACCGUAAAACUCACCAGGGAAGACUGUUACAUGAAAGCCGAGAUGAAGACUCUGCUAGAUUUUCAG
This 266-nucleotide ribosomal RNA is filed under the name uncultured archaeon. Its description in RNAcentral is "partial 16S ribosomal RNA". It matches the Rfam family "Archaeal small subunit ribosomal RNA", at positions 718 to 982 of the family's 1478-position model. The record is from RNAcentral.